AUGGACCAUGACGACCUGCCUAGCUUGGCUCCGUACUCCACCCCCUACCUACCUAGGGCGCGGAGUUGUGACUUUCAGAGUGAAAACCUAAGAGAACUUCACGAGGGCGGACGAAAACUCUGCCAUCCGUGUGCGCCCCACGCUCGUGCCCUUCGCCCACCCAUAACCCCCAUACAUCACGCUCGAUCGGGUGAAAUCCCGCCUCCUGUUCCUCUCUCCCAUGGAGCGCUGCCGCCGCCCACCGCGUCCCCAAUCUUACCUGCCACUCACACCUCACCUCGGUCGCCAGCGGCCUCCCCCUCCACUACAUCGCCUCGGCGCCCACCGCCCGACACCAGACGCGCGAAGAGUAGCCACACACAAGCCAUGGCUGGGACGCGCGAGGCUCCCACCGCUGCCAUCCAGGUGAGCCGCCGUCGCGGAUGCAUGAGGACCUUGCCGACCGGGUGCUCGCCCUACUGGGCCUGGAUCCGGGCGACGGCAAAGGCGGCGCCGGCCCCCGUGCCUCCACACGAGGAGGAAGAAGGCCUGGCGCGCUACAUCCCCAUCAAGGCCCUACUUCCUCUCCACCAGUUGAGUAUGCACGGCUGGUUGUACGCUAGGCAUAGCAUGGGAGCGACGUGGCACAUCCAGUCCAGAGAUCAUGCUUAUGACAUCCUGAAUAUCCGUGGCACAGGUUCAGAACCACUGGGUAUUGCUCAAACUUUUCUGGUCUCUCAGUCGCUGCUCCAGAAAACUUGCAUUCAGUACAACUGGACUCUGCAAGCACUGAUAUACAGCUCCAUGGUGUUAUUUGGGAACUGUUGUUUGGUUUGCAACGUGUGCUUAGUUGUUUGGUUGCAAUCUUUUAUCCGCUUCUCUGAAUUGAUAAUGACAAGUUAUGUUCACCGCACCUCUGCCGCCACCGUCGAUGCCGCUUCCAUGAUGGUCGGGAAGGCGCUGGGGUGUGGGAGCUACUUUCUCAGCCUUGCUGGGUCGACAGCGACAGAAUCAUUAACUUUUGGUGUGUUCAUUUGUAUCAAGUGUUCUGGAGCUCAUACAAGCCUGGGGUGCACAUUUCCAAGGAUAAGCUGGGCAUCAUUUAGCAUGGGCGAUAUGAGUUCGGAGUCAGACAUUGCUUCAGAUAAUUCCAUAUUUGUAGGCGAUCUUGCCUCUGAUGUCAAUGAUGCUGCAUUGCUGGAGACUUUCUCCAGCAGGUACUCCUCUGUCAAAGAUACAAAAGUUGUUAUUGAUGCUAACACUGACAUUAGUGAUGAUACAACAAUGUUCUCCACCAAAAUUGUGAUUUCGGGCGAGCUUAGCUUAGGGUGGGACCACCGGAGAUCGUGUGGCGCACGGGAGACAGAAACUCCACCAGCUAUUGUGUUGUGCCCACCGACAGCAAUAACAAAGAUACUGAGGUCAUUGCCAGACAUGACUGCCCUGUUUGCAAUCUAUUGGGUAGUCCUAUUUGGUGGAUUGCAUCUAUAG
RNAcentral lists this ribosomal RNA (1470 nucleotides) under Triticum aestivum (bread wheat). RNAcentral describes it as "partial small subunit ribosomal RNA". Lineage: Eukaryota; Viridiplantae; Streptophyta; Magnoliopsida; Poales; Poaceae. The record is from RNAcentral.